Drosophila montana is the source of this 883-nucleotide long non-coding RNA. RefSeq lists it as uncharacterized. The transcript has 3 exons. The record is from RefSeq and is a predicted model, not a curated record. NCBI's taxonomy places the organism in Eukaryota, Metazoa, Arthropoda, Insecta, Diptera, Drosophilidae.
ACAAAACUAUGUAAAAUAUAAUAAAAAAAUUUCGAAGAAAAAAAAAAUGAAUAAAAACUCUUUGUUUGGUGCAAUAUAAUGUUUUUGUUUUUUGUUUCAAAAUCUAAACUCGAAAUCGAGCAAAACAUUCUAGCCUUAUAAUACCAAAAAAGUACAAAAAUGGGGGGUAUCCUGUAAGGAAAGCAGACAAAAAAAAAACCCAGAAACAAAACCAAAAAAAUCAUCUAGAGAAGCAAAAUGAAAAAAAAGGAGAUGCAUUUGAUUUAUUUGAUUUGAAUUCCAUAACAUAUUUUCACAAUUCCAUAGUUCGAUAAGUUUAUUUUUAACGCAACAGUUGCGCAGCUACAGUCCGAAGUCCAAACCUUCCAACACUUCCCAACACACUUUUCCCAUAACACUGAAGCAAAGGAAUCAUCAACACGAAUAACGGAACAACGAACAACGAAGAACGAAGAACGAAGAACGAACAACGGAACAUUGAACCAGAGAACAAAGAAGAACGAAUCUAACGAACUACGAAUCACAUUUCUACGAAUCCCAAUACCUCGAUCACAAAUGCUACUAAUUACUACGAACCACGAACCAGUACACGUUCCGUUCCAAUUCAUUCGCGAUGCAGCGGAUGUUCCAAGGAACCACUUGAAAAGACGUUACUCGGCCAUUGCGAUUUCAAGCCUACGGUACCGCGACCGCAACCCCAACCCCAAUCCACUUCCUUACCCAUCCGCCCUUCCCCCCGUCCCCCGUCCUACUGCAACCAUUCGACAAACCGAGGUCGGCGCGAAGGAUUUGCGUACUUGAAAGCGACACUGGCCCAUCCGGUUUGCUGCACUUGUCAAUCGUUUGAAAUAUAUGCUUCACUUUAGACAUACGUAUAUAUGUA